This 445-nucleotide ribosomal RNA is filed under the name uncultured Chromatiales bacterium. Its description in RNAcentral is "bacterial SSU rRNA". It matches the Rfam family "Bacterial small subunit ribosomal RNA", at positions 1085 to 1525 of the family's 1533-position model. Lineage: Bacteria; Pseudomonadati; Pseudomonadota; Gammaproteobacteria; Chromatiales. The record is from RNAcentral.
AUCCGCAACGAGCGCACCCCUUGUCCCUAGUUGCCAGCACGUUCGAGGGUGGGAACUCUAGGGAGACUGCCGGGUGAUAAACCGGAGGAAGGUGGGGAUGACGUCAAGUCAUCAUGGCCCUUAUGGGGAGGGCUACACACCUGCUACAAUGGCCGGUACAGAGGGCUGCCAAUCCGCGAGGUGGAACGAAUCUCAAAAAACCGGUCGUAGUCCGGAUUGCAAUCUGCAACUCGACUGCAUGAAGCCGGAAUCGCUAGUAAUCGCGGAUCAGAACUCCGCGGUGAAUACGUUCCCGGGCCUUGUACACACCGCCCGUCACACCAUGGGAGUGGGCUGUACCACAAGUACGUAUUCUAACCUUCGGGAGGACGCUUACCACGAUGUGGUUCAUGACUGGUGGUGAAUUCGUAACAAGGUAGCCCUAGGGGAACCUGGGGCUGGAUCA